This 440-nucleotide ribosomal RNA is filed under the name uncultured bacterium. RNAcentral describes it as "partial 16S ribosomal RNA". It matches the Rfam family "Bacterial small subunit ribosomal RNA", at positions 338 to 795 of the family's 1533-position model. The record is from RNAcentral.
CCUACGGGCGGCAGCAGUGGGGAAUAUUGCACAAUGGGGGAAACCCUGAUGCAGCGACGCCGCGUGAGCGAAGAAGUAUUUCGGUAUGUAAAGCUCUAUCAGCAGGGAGGAAGAUGACGGUACCUGACUAAGAAGCCCCGGCUAACUAUGGGCCAGCAGCCGCGGUAAUACGUAGGGGGCAAGCGUUAUCCGGAUGUACGGGGUGGAAAGGGAGCGUAGACGGCAGGGCAAGUCUGGAGUGAAAGCCCGGGGACCAACCCCGGGACUGCUUUGGAAACUGCCAUGAGAGAGUGCUGGAGAGGUAAGCGGAAUUCCUAGUGUAGCGGUGAAAUGCGUAGAUAUUAGGAGGAACACCAGUGGCGAAGGCGGCUUACUGGACAGUAACUGACGUUGAGGCUCGAAAGCGUGGGGAGCAAACAGGAUUAGAUACCCUAGUAGUC